AACUCUUCUUGUUGUUUCCUCGUAUAGCAGACGCCGUCCCGUCCACCCUCAUCCACCCCCAUUCACCUCGAGCUCCCCCUGUUUCUGAGAACCCUAGCCCGCCGCCGCCGCCGCCAUGGAUCGUUCCCCCGUGUCGUAUCUGUCCAGUAGCUUUCGUCUUCCCCCAGGAGCAUCGGUCUCCGAUGCGCGCGAUGCCGCUCGCGCCGCUGCUGCUGCGGCUGAGGAAGCAUGUAGCGAAGCGAGGGCUGCGGAGAAGAAGGCCAUAGCCGCCGCUGAGCUUGCCACACUUGCUGUGGACAAGGACAAGGCAGGAGAUGGCGUACAUGCUGUGCACGACGCCGCCACCCUGGAAGUUAACCCAAAUGGCCAGUUUUGUGCACAUCACUGUUUUCUGCCAGUUUGUGCAGUUCACUAGUUUCUGGCACUUUGUGCAGUUCAUCUGGCACUUAAUCUACCAAAACAGAAACUGGCAGCCAAUUCAUAUGAAUUGCUUCAUCUACCUCAAACCGACACUAUACAUUGCAUUGCACAAUUGUGGCACAAAAAACUGCUGCAGCAAACAAGACUCGCACUACAUAAACUCAUUUUUUUUAGAAAAGGGAAUAUUAUUAAUAUUCCAGCUUCUGUAUCGGUUGAUACAUUCGGCUGUCAAACUCACAAACAUGGGGUUCCACAUUGGAACGAAAUCUUACAUUCUACAAAGGUUUCAUAAAUUUAAGCUCUCAAACUAUGCUCUCAAUCUAUGAAAAAAAGACCAUCCAUUAUUUGAAAAGAUCUCCAUCAUUGUUGUUUCAAGCACACGAC
This 804-nucleotide unclassified non-coding RNA is filed under the name Zea mays. RNAcentral's name for it is "misc RNA Zm00001eb328960". The record is from RNAcentral. Lineage: Eukaryota; Viridiplantae; Streptophyta; Magnoliopsida; Poales; Poaceae.